Molecule: ribosomal RNA, 331 nt
Filed under: uncultured soil bacterium
Lineage: Bacteria
Description: bacterial SSU rRNA
Rfam family: Bacterial small subunit ribosomal RNA
Source: RNAcentral
AGAUUGAACGCUGGCGGCAUGCCUUACACAUGCAAGUCGAACGGCAGCACGGGAGCAAUCCUGGUGGCGAGUGGCGAACGGGUGAGUAAUAUAUCGGAACGUGCCCAGUCGUGGGGGAUAACGCAGCGAAAGCUGUGCUAAUACCGCAUACGAUCUAUGGAUGAAAGCGGGGGAUCGCAAGACCUCGCGCGAUUGGAGCGGCCGAUAUCAGAUUAGCUAGUUGGUGGGGUAAAAGCCUAACCAAGGCGACGAUCUGUAGCGUGGUCUGAGAGGGCGACGAGACCGACACGUAGGAACGUGAGACACGGCCAGGACCUCGUACGGGAGGCAG